Molecule: transfer RNA, 88 nt
Filed under: Hyphomonadaceae bacterium
Lineage: Bacteria; Pseudomonadati; Pseudomonadota; Alphaproteobacteria; Hyphomonadales; Hyphomonadaceae
Description: tRNA-Leu
Rfam family: tRNA
About the family: Transfer RNA (tRNA) molecules are approximately 80 nucleotides in length. Their secondary structure includes four short double-helical elements and three loops (D, anti-codon, and T loops).
Source: RNAcentral
GCGGGCGUGGUGGAAAUGGUAGACACGCAAGACUUAAAAUCUUGUUCCGGAUUUCGGAGUGCCGGUUCAAUUCCGGCCGCCCGCACCA